GAAUGCUGACAUAAGUAACGAUAAAGCGGGUGAAAAGCCCGCUCGCCGGAAGACCAAGGGUUCCUGUCCAACGUUAAUCGGGGCAGGGUGAGUCGACCCCUAAGGCGAGGCCGAAAGGCGUAGUCGAUGGGAAACGGGUUAAUAUUCCCGUACUUGGUGUUACUGCGAAGGGGGGACGGAGAAGGCUAUGUUGGCCGGGCGACGGUUGUCCCGGUUUAAGCGUGUAGGUGUGUGUUCCAGGUAAAUCCGGUUCACUUUAACACUGAGGCGUGACGACGAGGCACUACGGUGCUGAAGCAACAAAUGCCCUGCUUCCAGGAAAAGCCUCUAAGCAUCAGGUAACAUCAAAUCGUACCCCAAACCGACACAGGUGGUCAGGUAGAGAAUACCAAGGCGCUUGAGAGAACUCGGGUGAAGGAACUAGGCAAAAUGGUGCCGUAACUUCGGGAGAAGGCACGCUGACACGUAGGUGAAGUGAUUUACUCAUGGAGCUGAAGUCAGUCGAAGAUACCAGCUGGCUGCAACUGUUUAUUAAAAACACAGCACUGUGCAAACACGAAAGUGGACGUAUACGGUGUGACGCCUGCCCGGUGCCGGAAGGUUAAUUGAUGGGGUCAGCGCA
This 622-nucleotide ribosomal RNA is filed under the name Salmonella enterica. Its description in RNAcentral is "partial 23S ribosomal RNA". It matches the Rfam family "Bacterial large subunit ribosomal RNA", at positions 1292 to 1897 of the family's 2925-position model. Lineage: Bacteria; Pseudomonadati; Pseudomonadota; Gammaproteobacteria; Enterobacterales; Enterobacteriaceae. The record is from RNAcentral. RNAcentral also lists the same sequence under 1 other name.